This 297-nucleotide small nuclear RNA is filed under the name Triticum aestivum (bread wheat). The stretch from base 101 to 297 matches the Rfam family "U2 spliceosomal RNA". From Rfam's summary of the family: U2 is a small nuclear RNA (snRNA) component of the spliceosome (involved in pre-mRNA splicing). Complementary binding between U2 snRNA (in an area lying towards the 5' end but 3' to hairpin I) and the branchpoint sequence (BPS) of the intron results the bulging out of an unpaired adenosine, on the BPS, which initiates a nucleophilic attack at the intronic 5' splice site, thus starting the first of two transesterification reactions that mediate splicing. The record is from RNAcentral. Lineage: Eukaryota; Viridiplantae; Streptophyta; Magnoliopsida; Poales; Poaceae.
ACCCCGGUUGCUGCGACUCGUUUAGUCCCACAUCGCUUGGCGAAGGGGAGGCGGGGCGCUGCGAGGCUAUAAAGAGCAGGGGUGGCCAGCGGGUUGAAGCAUACCUUUCUCGGCCUUUUGGCUAAGAUCAAGUGUAGUAUCUGUUCUUAUCAGUUUAAUAUCUGAUAUGUGGGUCAUGUGCUCACAACGAUAUUAAAUUUAUUUUUUGUGGGGGAGGGCCCACCACAGUGGCUUGCCAUUGGGGCCCUCAGGUGUCGCUCAGUGCGUUGCACUACUGCCUGGGCAGGCGCACCCCAA